RNAcentral lists this long non-coding RNA (7780 nucleotides) under Lactuca sativa (garden lettuce). Its description in RNAcentral is "long non-coding RNA (LSAT_LNC003154)". Lineage: Eukaryota; Viridiplantae; Streptophyta; Magnoliopsida; Asterales; Asteraceae. The record is from RNAcentral.
CUUUGAUCUAUGUUGUAGUAGUUGAAACGAGGUUUCCGAAUAUAUAUAGAACGCCCAAAUCUGACUUCGUAUGAGGAAGUUAUGAUUUAUCGAAGUUCCGGCUUAGCGGUGUGCAGCCCGAAAUACUCGAUUUGAGAUCGAGCAGUUUUUAGCCGAAGCAAUCUAAAUGAGAAUCGAAGAUCUCGUUGUUGGUAUCGAAGCGAUAAAAAGUUAGGCGAGAGCGGACGUCAAACGAAGAAGUUAUGAAUUUAUAACGAAAGUUUCUGUCGCGGCCUAUUAAAAAUAAUUAAUAAAAAUAAAGUCAAAAUUAGCCGACGGAGUCUAAACGAAAGUCGUAGAGCGUGGUCUCACCUUUCCGUGGAUAUAAAGAACGUCGAAAACGGAGUUCGUAUGAAGAAGUUAUGAAUUUCCGAAGUUUAUUAAUCAUUUUGUAUUUAAAUAUAAAUCAAAAUUCGGAAGCAUUAUCCGAAGGAGUCACCGAUCUGAUCCGAGGUACGCCCCGCGUACUCGAGUACGCCCUGCGUACUCCGAGGGAUGUCGACACUCGCACUCGAGCACUUCGGAUACGUAAGCAAUGACGUUUUGGGCAGUACGCCCCGCGUAACGCAGUACGCCCCGCGUACUCCGAGGCUCCAGCCUCCUAUAAAUAGGAUGCGAGGGUUCCGGGUAUUUUUGCCAAUUCCCUCUCAUUUUCGUGUCGAAGCUCUGCAUUUUUACCCCCGAAGCUACCCCGAAGCCCCGGUAUCAUACUCUAGCCCCGAGGCAAGUCCCGAGAUCCCGAAGAUCCCGAGAAGCGCGGUUCCCGAGUCGAAGCUCUGCCCGCGAGAAGUUCGAUUUUCGAGGAGAUCUUCCAGAUCUGCUGUGGAUUACUACUUCUAUAAGCCGUAGUGCUGUCGGAUCGUCUUCUGAUCAAGUGAGUGUGUAGUUAUUUCUUCUAAUACAAUAAUACGAAGUAUUUUAUAUAAAAAUACGUGCUAUGUGUAUAUAUUUGGUUGUGUUAUGUGUGAAUGAGUAUUCACUCUCUUCUAUCUUAUAGAUCUGCUUAUUUCUUUAUGAGAUAUGUGUUAUGUGUGUGUGUGCCUCAUCUGUUAUGUGAUAUAUGUGUUGAUUAAAGCAUGCUAUACAGGUUUUCUUUAAACUAUGUAUACAAAUGUAUAUUUUUAUCUACUAAUAUGUUGGGUAGAACAUGGGUAGACAGUUGGUGUGUAAUAAACAGAUGAGAGGCCUCGUUGUUGUUUGAUUGAGUCAUCUAGCGGAGUUUAGAUGACGACCACUGGCUAUUCUAGACAGUCUUGUGGAAACAUUAGCAGGUUCGCCACCUGUAGGUGUUAAUGAACUUGGGUGUUCAUUCGCUGUACUCCAUCCCCCUCAUGGUUGCCUUAUUUGACUUAUAUUGCUGAGGUACCCCCGAAGCAUGUGUUGUCGCCCCGAUGAAAUAUUCUUAGACUAGGUCCCUUAUGUUAGUUGUUUUAGGGACAUUAAAGUGAGAAUAACGGGAAUGGGUAAUUGGGUUAUUGUUGGUUGGUGAAAAUUAAAUAUGAUAUUUAUUGUGGGUUGAAAACCCUAUAUGCUCACCAGGCUCCCAAGCCUGACCCACUCAGUUUUAAAUUGUAUUACAGGUAGUGGCGGAAGGGCAUGAGAUGGAUGAACCAUCAAGUUGUUUUGUUUACAAGUCUGCAUAUGUUUAUAUUUGUUAUAUGACUUGUAAUGUAUUCGUUUAUGCUUAUUGGUCUGUAUCGGAACAUGACACCCCGAGUUUUGAUUAUAAUGAAAAUACAUUUCUUUUAUGAAAUGCUUCGGUAAACAAUGUUUUAUCAUGUUUUGUUUUUGGGAACAAAUUCCGCAACUCUUUCAAAUCAAAAGGAUUUACUCUGAAAAUAUUUAAAAGCAUAAAUGAAAAUCGGUCUUUUCUGGCCGAGAUUUUGGGGAUGUCACAGUUGGUAUCAGAGCAUUAGUUUAAGCGAACUAGGAAUUUGUAGGAUUUCUAGACUUAAACUUAGAAUGCUAAGUGAAGUUUUGAGAUGUGUGUCUGUUGUGAUUUAGACACGAGCACUAGUUUAUUUUAGGAAAGUUGCCUAAAAUGCUUUAUGUGCUAAAUGUUAUAUGUUGCCAUAUAUGAUAUUAUUUGUUCGGAUCUAUGGUCUGUUGCCGACCGGAUCUAGAAACCUUAUGUGUGUAGGAUUCUAAGCGUACGUCUACGAUAUUAGAACUAGCAUGUAAACGUUUCGGAGUGAUAAGGAUGAUUUGAAUAUCUAUCAUGAUUGAGGAUCUAAUUUCACCUUAUUCGGUGUAGAUCAAAAUGGUGAGAACAAGAAGUGGAGUUGGAAAUGCUGACGAAAACAGGAAUCAACCACCAGUGAUUGAGCCAAUACCUGUCGUAGCAGCAGCACCUGAGCCAAUAACCAUGGCUGGUGUGCAAUUGAUGAUUCAGACGAUGUUGGAUCGUCAGAUGGAUGAAACUAGACGGUUGCUUCAACAAAAUCGUGAAGAACUGUCGAUUCGUGUGGAAGAGCCUGAACUGAAUGAAGGGCACUCGGAAGGUGGAAACUUCAGUGGGUCUGUUGGUCCAGCCAACCCACCGAUAGUUAGGCAAGAUAACCAUGAUGGAAGGAAUGAUGGAAUGGGAUGCAAGUACAAGGACUUUUUGACUUGUAAACCAUCGACCUUCAAUGGAAAGGAGGAUCCGAUUGGGGUUAUGGAUUGGAUCUCCGAAAUGGAGUUAGCCUUUAUGACAUGUGGCUGUAGAGGCAAGUUGCAGACUAUCUAUGCCGUGCGACAAUUCCGAGGUGGAGCCGUUCGUUGGUGGAACACUCUAGGGAAGACCUUAAGCCCUAAUGAGCCACUGCAAUUGUCAUGGGCAGAGUUCUUGGUGCAGUUCAAGCGCAAGUUCUGCUCGGCUCAAAAUCUGUUGGAGUUGGAGAAUAAGUUUUUGACAUUGACGAAGGGUAGCAUGUCAGUUGAUGAAUACACCAAUAACUUCACCGAUAAGAUGGAGUUUGCCUUGCGUAUCGUUCCAGACGAGCUGACAAAGGUGGAUCGGUAUGCGAAGGGACUUCCAUGGGAGUACGAGGUGCCGGUACGUCAGGCACUUACUCUAGAGGCAGCUAUCUGGGCUGCCAAGUCUGUGGAGAACAUGAUCAAGGGGAGAACCACCGUCAAGGUUGAGGUUGGUGAGAAAAGGAAGUUUGAAGGAACAUCUGGUUCCAGUAAGAAGAGCAAAUUUUCGAAAUCUGAUUCGAAAAAGUUUGGAGGAAAAGGAGGCGAAGCAAAGUGGUGUGAUAAGUGUAAGAAAAAGCACUUUGGGAAAUGUAGCGAGGAUGUGACCUGCUACAAGUGUGGAAAGGUUGGACAUUUUGCCAAUGAAUGUCCGAACAACAAAAGGAUGUGUUUUGGUUGUAAUGAAGAGGGGCAUAUUUUGAAAGACUGUCCGAAGAAGAAGGAGGCAGCUAGGCCCAACAUUCCACCAAAGCCGAAGGCGAGAGCCUUCCAGAUGACACUUGAGGCUGCGAAAGAUGAAGCUGAUGUCGCUUCAGGUACCUUUCUCGUAAACGAAUUACCUGCUCAUAUAUUGUUUGAUUCUGGAGCCAACUACUCCUUUAUUUCGCAUGAGUUUGGUAGAAAGCUAGCUUUGCCUGUUGAUAGACUAAAUAAUGCUUUAUUAGUCGAAGUAGCUAGUGGCAAGUUUGUACCUGUUAGCCAUCGUAUGAAAAACGUCUUGAUCGACCUUAAUGGGAAUAAGUUUCUCGAGGAAUUAUUGCCUAUCGAACUAAAUGGUUUCGACAUCGUCUUGGGAAUGGAUUGGCUUAGCGCCAAUGAUGCCGAAAUUUUGUGCAAGAAGAAGAUAGUUAAAGUAAACCCGCCUGGAAAAGAUUCGUUUAUGGUGUAUGGGGACAAACGCAGAGUGAAUUCUGGAAUCAUUUCUCUAAUGAAAGCCAGAAAGUGUUUGACCAAGGGAUGUACAUCAUAUUUAGCAUUCGUGAUUGAUGCUAAGAAAGAAAAGAAGGUGAUGCAGAGCAUUCCAGUGGUGUGUGAUUAUCCGGAAGUAUUUCCCGAGGAUCUUCCUGGAUUACCACCUGAUAGACAAGUGGAGUUCAGAAUAGACUUGUUACCAGGAACCACGCCAAUAGCAAAAGCACCUUAUCGAUUAGCACCGACGGAGAUGAAGGAGCUAAUGAUGCAACUUCAGGAGUUAUUGGACAAAGGUUUCAUUAGACCUAGUUCAUCGCCCUGGGGAGCUCCGGUGUUAUUUGUAAAGAAGAAAGAUGGAAGUAUGAGAAUGUGCAUCGAUUACAGAGAGCUGAACAAGGCAACAAUAAAGAAUAGAUAUCCGUUGCCGAGGAUUGAUGACCUGUUUGAUCAAUUGCAAGGUUCGAGCUAUUUCUCGAAGAUCGAUCUUAGGUCAGGAUAUCAUCAGCUGAAAGUAAGAGAGCAAGAUAUCGAGAAGACUGCAUUCAGAACUAGAUAUGGACACUACGAGUUCUUGGUUAUGUCGUUUGGACUAACCAAUGCUCCAGCAGCGUUCAUGGAUUUGAUGAAUAGGGUUUGUAAUCCUUUCCUUGAUAAAUCCGUGAUAGUGUUCAUAGACGACAUUCUGAUCUACUCGAAAAGCCAGGAGGAGCAUGGCAGACACUUGCGAGAAGUGUUAGAAGUUUUGAAGAAGGAGAAGCUUUAUGCGAAGUUCUCCAAAUGUGAUUUUUGGAUUCGUGAAGUCCAAUUCUUGGGUCACGUGGUCAACCAAGAAGGGAUAAUGGUUGAUCCAGCGAAGAUCGAAGCUGUGACGAAGUGGGAACAACCGAAAAGUCCCACGGAGAUUCGAAGCUUUUUAGGAUUAGCCGGAUAUUACCGAAGGUUUAUCCAAGGCUUUUCUUCGAUUGCUACUCCAUUAACAGCUUUGACCCACAAAGGAGCUACUUAUGCUUGGAGUGAGAAGCAUAAAGAAGCAUUCGAGAAGUUAAAGAAGAAGCUAUGCGAGGCACCGAUACUUUCUCUACCCGAUGGAGUUGAAGACUUCGCUGUUUAUAGCGAUGCGUCUGGUGUUGGAUUGGGUUGUGUUUUGACCCAAAGAGAAAAGGUGAUAGCAUAUGCGUCUCGACAGCUGAAAGAGCAUGAAAAGAAUUACCCGACUCAUGAUUUGGAGUUGGCAGCGGUAGUUUUCGCUCUGAAAAUAUGGAGGCAUUACCUCUAUGGCACGAAGUGCAAACUUUUCACUGAUCAUAAGAGUCUCCAAUACCUCUUUAAUCAGAAAGAAUUGAAUAUGAGGCAACGACGCUGGCUAGAAUUACUUAAAGACUACGACUGCGAGAUACUUUACCACCCCGGUAAAGCUAAUGUUGUUGCUGAUGCUCUCAGUCGGAAGGUCAAUCUUGAAAGGAAGAGGCCAAGAGCGUUGAGAAUUGAAGUUGUCUCGACCAUUGUGGAAAGUAUAAAGAAAGCUCAAGAGGAAGCUUCUGAGAAAAAUGACCGAAAGGAGGAACGUUUGGGUAAAACGUUGGUGUUUGGUACUAACGGUCAUGGACUGAAGGUAUUCCAAGAUCGUAUUUGGGUACCUAAGUCAGGAGGAAUUAGAGAUCUUCUGAUGGAAGAAGCUCACAAGACCAUGUACUCGAUUCAUCCGGGUAGCACUAAAAUGUAUAGGGACCUGAAACCCUACUACUGGUGGCCGACGAUGAAGCUUGAUGUUGCAAAGUAUGUGGCCGAGUGUGUGACUUGUGCGAGAGUCAAGACACAACAUCAGAAACCGUACGGGAGUUUAGAACCUUUGCCUGUGCCUAUGGGUAAGUGGGAAGACAUUGCUAUGGAUUUUGUCACUAAACUGCCCAGAACAAAGAAUGGUCACGACAUGAUUUGGGUGGUCGUUGAUCGAUUCACUAAGAGUGCGCAUUUCAUAGCGGCCAGGGAGAAAUGGUCUAUGGAAAAGCUUGCGAAUUCUUACGUGAAGGAAAUUGUGAGGCUUCACGGUGUUCCGUUAACGAUUGUAUCGGAUCGUGAUAGCCGUUUCACCUCAAGGUUUUGGAAAAGUCUACAAGAGGAAAUGGGUACCAAGUUAUGUUUAAGCACAGCUUACCAUCCGCAGACUGAUGGUCAGAGUGAAAGAACAAUACAAACACUUGAAGAUAUGCUGAGAGCAUGUACCUUGGAAUUCCUAGGUAAUUGGGAUGAACAUUUACCGUUGGUAGAAUUUUCCUAUAAUAAUAGUUUUCACUCGAGCAUUAAGAUGGCACCUUAUCAAGCUUUGUAUGGACAGAAGUGUCGUACGCCGUCUUGUUGGCUUGAGGCUGGGGAAAAGCAGUUUAUGGGACCGGAGAUGGUUCAUCAAACUGCUGAAAAGUUGAAAAUAAUUAGGGAAAGAAUGUUAGCAGCUCAAGAUCGUCAAAAGAGCUAUGCUGACAAGAAGCGAAGACCGAUGACUUUUGAGGUUGGAGAUUCGGUUUUGCUUAAAGUCUCGCCGUGGAAGGGACUUAUAAGAUUUGGUAAAAGGGGAAAGUUGAGUCCAAGGUUUAUUGGACCGUUUAAAGUUCUUCAGAGGAUUGGGAACCAAGCUUACAAGCUCGAAUUACCCGAAGAACUGAAUGGAAUUCACAACACUUUUCAUGUGUGUUAUUUGAGGAAGUUCACGGGAGAAGUUCCCGAUAUAAUUCCAAUUUCUGAAUUGAGAAUUGAUGAGAACAAAAGGUUGAUUGAAGAACCAGAGGCAAUUGUUGACCGAAAGACUAAGAAGUUGCGACGCAAAAUGGUUGGGUUAGUGCUUGUCCGAUGGAAACACACGAAUGGGCCGAAUCUCACCUGGGAGACGGAGAGUGACAUGUUGAGUCGCUAUCCGCAUUUGUUUGUUGAUGUGUGAUUCCGGGGACGGAAUCAUUCUAAGGUGGAGAGAAUUGUAACGCCUGUGUUUCCGGGCUUGCCAUUUUUAGCAAUAUAAUAGUCUAGGUUAACCUUUGUAACCCGUUUUGAAAUAAUAAGAUUGUAUUAUUUGAGUAUUAUGUGUUUUGUGCUUAAUUGCUUAAUUAUGUGGUUUGAUUAAUUAAGAAUAAAAAUAAGCGUCAAAAUUUAAGUGUAAAAUAAACUUAAUAUCUUUGGUUAAUGUUGUAGUAGUUGAAACGAGGUUUCCGAAUAUAUAUAGAACGCCCAAAUCUGACUUCGUAUGAGGAAGUUAUGAUUUAUCGAAGUUCCGGCUUAGCGGUAUACAGCCUGUUAUACUCGAUUUGAGAUCGAGCGGUUGUUAGCCGAAGCAAUCUAAAUGAGAAUCGAAGAUCUCAUUGUUGGUAUCGAAGCGAUAAAAAGUUAGGCGAGAACGGACGUCAAACGAAGAAGUUAUGAAUUUAUAACGAAAGUUUCUGUCCCGGCCUAUUAAAAAUAAUUAAUAAAAAUAAAGUCAAAAUUAGCCGACGGAGUCUAAACGAAAGUCGUAGAGCAUGGUCUCACCUUCCCGUGGAUAUAAAGAACGUCGAAAACGGAGUUCGUAUGAAGAAGUUAUGAAUUUCCGAAGUUUAUUAAUCAUUUUGUAUUUUUAUUUAAUUCAAAAUCGGAGGCAUUAUCCGAAGCCGUGUCACCGGUGUAAUCCGGAGUACGCCCCGCGUACGAGGUUACGCUAUCGCGUAACUCCGAUAGUGUCGACACUUCGGAUGACGCAUGCAAUGACGAUUUCGGACGCGUACGCGCUGCGUACGCCUGUACGCCCCGCGUACUCCGAGGUUCCAGCCUCUAUAUAAAGGAUCCGAAGGCAGCCUCAUUUCUUGUUCAUUUUCUUCUCUUCUCUCUAGUCUUUUGCAUCGUUUUUCGU